This 71-nucleotide transfer RNA is filed under the name Desmophyllum pertusum. RNAcentral's name for it is "Lophelia pertusa tRNA". It matches the Rfam family "tRNA". Rfam says of the family: Transfer RNA (tRNA) molecules are approximately 80 nucleotides in length. Their secondary structure includes four short double-helical elements and three loops (D, anti-codon, and T loops). Further hydrogen bonds mediate the characteristic L-shaped molecular structure. tRNAs have two regions of fundamental functional importance: the anti-codon, which is responsible for specific mRNA codon recognition, and the 3' end, to which the tRNAs corresponding amino acid is attached (by aminoacyl-tRNA synthetases). tRNAs cope with the degeneracy of the genetic code in two manners: having more than one tRNA (with a specific anti-codon) for a particular amino acid; and 'wobble' base-pairing, i.e. permitting non-standard base-pairing at the 3rd anti-codon position. The record is from Rfam by way of RNAcentral. Lineage: Eukaryota; Metazoa; Cnidaria; Anthozoa; Scleractinia; Caryophylliidae.
UCUCCUGUAGUUCAGUGGUAGAGCGUCCGACAGUGUGCGGAAGGUCAUAGGUUCGACUCCUGUUAGGGAAC